RNAcentral lists this ribosomal RNA (460 nucleotides) under uncultured bacterium. RNAcentral's name for it is "partial 16S ribosomal RNA". It matches the Rfam family "Bacterial small subunit ribosomal RNA", at positions 338 to 795 of the family's 1533-position model. The record is from RNAcentral.
CCUACGGGAGGCAGCAGUGAGGAAUAUUGGUCAAUGGACGCGAGCCUGAACCAGCCAAGUAGCGUGCAGGAUGACUGCCCUACGGGUUGUAAACUUCUUUUAUAAAGGGAUAAAGUGAGGCACGUGUGCCUUUUUGUAUGUACUUUAUGAAUAAGGAUCGGCUAACUCCGUGCCAGCAGCCGCGGUAAUACGGAGGAUCCGAGCGUUAUCCGGAUUUAUUGGGUUUAAAGGGAGCGUAGAUGGGUUGUUAAGUCAGUUGUGAAAGUUUGAGGCUCAACCGUAAAAUUGCAAUUGAUACUGGCAGUCUUGAGUACAGUUGAGGUAGGCGGAAUGUGUGGUGUAGCGGUGAAAUGCUUAGAGAUCACGAAGAACUCCGAUUGCGAAGGCAGCUUACUAAACUGCCACUGACAUUGAUGCUCGAAAGUGUGGGUAGCAAACAGGAUUAGAUACCCUGGUAGUC